This 253-nucleotide ribosomal RNA is filed under the name uncultured prokaryote. RNAcentral describes it as "partial 16S ribosomal RNA". It matches the Rfam family "Bacterial small subunit ribosomal RNA", at positions 525 to 777 of the family's 1533-position model. The record is from RNAcentral.
ACGGGGGGAGCAAGCGUUGUUCGGAUUUACUGGGCGUAAAGGGCGCGUAGGCGGCGUAACAAGUCACUUGUGAAAUCUCCGGGCUUAACCCGGAGCGGCCAAGUGAUACUGUUGUGCUAGAGUGCGGAAGGGGCUACUGGAAUUCUCGGUGUAGCGGUGAAAUGCGUAGAUAUUGGGAAGAACACCUGAGGCGAAGGCGGGAUGCUGGGCCGACACUGACGCUGAGGCGCGAAAGCCAGGGGAGCAAACGGGA